UCAGUCGGCCGGGCAGCCGCGUCGCUUUAAGCGCCGAGGAAAGUCCGGGCUCCACGGAGAAGCGGUGCCGGAUAACGUCCGGCGGGGGCGACCCCAGGGAAAGUGCCACAGAGAACAAACCGCCUUCGGUUUUCGGACCGGAGGUAAGGGUGAAAAGGUGCGGUAAGAGCGCACCGCGCCGCUGGCAACAGCGGCGGCACGGCAAACCCCACCGGGAGCAAAGCCAAAUAGGGAUGACGCGGCGCGAGCCGGUUCUCUCCGGACCAGUCAUCCGGGUUGGCUGCUUGAGGCGUUCGGCAACGGGCGUCCCAGAGGAAUGGCUGCCGCGCGGGGGCGACCCCGCCUUACAGAACCCGGCUUACAGGCCGGCUGAUGAC
RNAcentral lists this RNase P RNA (377 nucleotides) under Xanthobacteraceae bacterium. Its description in RNAcentral is "RNase P RNA component class A". It matches the Rfam family "Bacterial RNase P class A". From Rfam's summary of the family: Ribonuclease P (RNase P) is a ubiquitous endoribonuclease, found in archaea, bacteria and eukarya as well as chloroplasts and mitochondria. Its best characterised activity is the generation of mature 5'-ends of tRNAs by cleaving the 5'-leader elements of precursor-tRNAs. Cellular RNase Ps are ribonucleoproteins. The record is from RNAcentral. Lineage: Bacteria; Pseudomonadati; Pseudomonadota; Alphaproteobacteria; Hyphomicrobiales; Xanthobacteraceae.